GUCCGCCGGAUCGUCAACACCAUCCCCAUCACGCUGCGGCUGCUGCUGCACCGCCACGGCGCCGCCGGGACGCUGUCGCCGCGCGCGGCCGCCGCAUGGGUGGUGCUGGCCGACCGCUGGCCCUGCCGCCUCAGCUGGACCCUGCAGUGCCUGGAGGAUUCCGGCCAGGGCGCGGCCGCGCCGGGUUCGGCGGGGAGAUCCCUCUGGAGCGUUUUCCAGGACCACGUGGGCGAGCUGAGCGCGCUGCGGCAGCCGCUGGGGAAGGUGCUGAGCUUGGACGGGGAUCCGGAGCUUUUCCAGGCCUUCCUGGCGCGGGAUUUCCCCUUCGGCGCGGCCGAGGCGCGGGAGCUGCUGGGGGUGACGGUGAACCUGGACCAUUCCAUCCGGCACCAGAUGGGGCUGCUCCGGGCGCUGCAGAGGCUCGGGAGGACGGCGCCGGUGUCGCGCGGGGUGCAGUGCGCCGGCGGGCAGUGACCGACCCCGGAUCGUCCUCGGGAUCCUCGGGAUCGUCGGGAUCGUCCUCGGGAUCAUCGGGAUUGUCAUUGGGAUUGUCAUCAGCAUCAUCAGGAUCAUCAGGAUCAUCAUCAAGAUCAUUGGGAUCCUCAUCGGGAUCAUCAGGAUCAUCAUCAAGAUCAUCGGGAUCGUUGAGAUCCUCAUUGGGAUCAUCGGGAUCAUCGGCAUUGUCAUUGGGAUCUUCAGGAUCAUCAUCAAGAUCAUCGGGAUCAUUGAGAUCCUCAUUGGGAUCCUCAUCAGGAUCAUUGGCAUUGUCAUUGGGAUCUUCAGGAUCAUCAUCAAGAUCAUCGGGACCAUUGAGAUCCUCAUUGGGAUCAUCGGGAUCAUCGGCAUUGUCAUCGGGAUCUUCAGGAUCAUCAUCAAGAUCAUCGGGAUCAUUGAGAUCCUCAUUGGGAUCACUGGGAUCAUCACUGGGAUCAUUGGGAUCAUCAUAAAGAUCACUGGAUCAUUGAGAUCCUCAUCGGGAUCAUCAGGAUCCUCAUUGGGAUCAUCGGGAUCGUCACUGAAAUCCUCAUCAGAAUCAUCAGGAUCCUCAUUGGGAUCAUCAGGAUCAUCGGGAUCAUCAUUAAGAUCCUCACUGGGGUCAUCAGGAUUAUCAGAACCAUCGCUGGGAUCAUCAUCGAGAUCAUUGGGAUCAUCACUGGGAUCAUCAGAACCCUUACUGGGAUCAUCAGAACCCUUACUGGGAUCAUCAGGAUCUUCGGGAUCAUCAUCGGGAUCUUCAGGAUCCUCAUCAGGACCAUUGAGACCAUCAGAACCAUCACUGGGAUCAUCGGGAUCCUCACUGGGAUCCUCAUCGGGAUCAUUGGGAUCAUCACUGGGAUCAUCAGAACCGUUAUUUGGAUCAUUGGGAUCUUCAGGAUCCUCAUCAGGAUCAUCGGAACCAUCAGAACCAUCAUUGGGAUCGUCGGGAUCCUCACUGGGAUCAUCGGGAUCAUCGCUGGGAUCAUCAGAACCGUUAUUGGGAUCAUCGAGAUCUUCGGGAUCCUCAUCGGGAUCAUCACUGGGAUUCUCGGGAUCCUCAUCAGGAUCCUCUUUGGGAUCCCCAUCGGGAUCAUUGGGAUCAUCCAGACCAUCGGGAUCCUCACUGGGAUCCUCACUGGGAUCCUCACUGGGAUCAUCGGGAUCUUCAGGAUCCUCAUCAGGACCAUUGAGAACUUCAUUGGGAUCCUCAGGAUCCUCACUGGGAUCCUCAUCGGGAUCCCCGGGAUCCUCACUGGGAUCCUCGGGAUCAUCCAGACCAUCGGGAUCCUCACUGGGAUCAUCAUCGGGACCAUCGGGAUCCUCACUGGGAUCCUCAUCGGGAUCCCCGGGAUCAUCCAGACCAUCGGGAUCCCCGGGAUCCUCACCGGGAUCAUCGGGAUCAUGCAGACCAUCGGGAUCCUCACUGGGAUCCUCACCGGGAUCCCCGGGAUCAUCCAGACCAUGGGGAUCAUCACUGGGAUCCUCUCUGGGAUCCCCGGGAUCCUCACUGGGAUCCCCGGGAUCAUCCAGACCAUCGGGAUCUUCGGGAUCCUCUCUGGGAUCCCCGGGAUCCCUCCGAGGGCAAGCGAGAGCUCCGGGAGGAUUUUGGGGGGAAACUUUUUUUGGGGGUGGGAAAACGGGGAUUGGGAAUUGUGGGAUUUUAUCCCGGAAUUUGGAUCCUGGGGAAUUCCUGGAGGGGUUCGGGAGGAUCCAGAGGGAAUUCCCGGGGUUUAUUCCCGGGAUUUCGUCACUGGGAAUUCCUGGAGGGGCUUGGGAGGAUCCAGAGGGAAUUCCCGGGGUUUAUUCCCGGGAUUUCAUCACUGGGAGACGCUGGGAGGGAGUGGGGAGAUCCGAGGGCAUCCCAAGGCUCCUGGAACCCCAAGGAAUUCUGAUCCCCCCGGGAAUUCCCCCACCCCGAGACGUUCCCGGGACCUCUUCCCAAAAUUCGGGAGGGGAAAAACCGGGAAAAGCCCCAAAUCCAGGCCGCUCCCAACCCCCAUCCCGCCGGAAUUCCGGGGAAAAGCCCCCGGGAUCGCCCCCAAUAAAACAAAUUCCACCCCCGGCUCUGCGCUCUGGGAUUUUUUUGGGAUUCCCGGCGGGAAUUCCCGCCCCUUCCGGGAUUUUUUUUUGGGGUUUCACCCCCUUCACCCCCCCCCUUUAAUCCCAGAAUUCCCAAAAUCCCGGAAUUCCCGGAUGAGCCCCCAGAAAGAGGGCGGGUGACGAAUGCAGAAUUCCUUUAAUUAGAAAACAGCCGUUAAGGAAAGAAAAUCCAAGGAAAAACCAAAAACCAAAAAAAAAAAAAAACCCGGGAAAAACAAACAAACAAACAAACAAAAAAAAAACCGGGAAAAGACGGAAAAAAAUCCCCCAAAUCCCAAAAAAAAAAAAAAAAACCCCAACGAAACAAGCCCAGGAAAACACCAGCGAAAAUUCCCGGCCGGAAUAUCGGGAAUAUCCCUCCGGAAUUCCCAUUCCCAACCCCUCCCCCAGCCCCAAAAGCUCCCUGAAAGAUUUUAUUGCACUUAAGAAAGAAAAGCGACCCCUCCCCCACUCUGGGAAUUCCCUGGGAAUUCCGGGAAUUUCGGGAAUUCCGGGCUGGGAGAUUCCCCGCGGCGCGUCCCGGAUUUUGUUUUUAUUUUCUUUUCCGCAUCCCGGAUUUCUUUUUUCCUCCUCCUCUGUCGCUCCGGAAAUUUGGGAUCAGCGAGGAAUUCCGACCCCUCCCUCUCCCAUUUUUCCCUCCUGGAUUUUUUUUCCCGGGAAUUCUGCAUCUCCCGGGUUUUUUUUCCCGGGAAUUCUGCAGCUCCUGUUGUUUAUUCCCGGGAAUUCUGCAG
This is a long non-coding RNA of Cyanistes caeruleus (blue tit), 3308 nucleotides long. NCBI's taxonomy places the organism in Eukaryota, Metazoa, Chordata, Aves, Passeriformes, Paridae. The record is from Ensembl.